GCGCGAGUGGCGAAAUGGCAGACGCGCUGGCUUCAGGUGCCAGUGUUCGAAAGGACGUGGGGGUUCAAGUCCCCCCUCGCGCA
Molecule: transfer RNA, 83 nt
Filed under: Actinomycetota bacterium
Lineage: Bacteria; Bacillati; Actinomycetota
Description: Actinobacteria bacterium tRNA-Leu
Rfam family: tRNA
About the family: Transfer RNA (tRNA) molecules are approximately 80 nucleotides in length. Their secondary structure includes four short double-helical elements and three loops (D, anti-codon, and T loops). Further hydrogen bonds mediate the characteristic L-shaped molecular structure. tRNAs have two regions of fundamental functional importance: the anti-codon, which is responsible for specific mRNA codon recognition, and the 3' end, to which the tRNAs corresponding amino acid is attached (by aminoacyl-tRNA synthetases). tRNAs cope with the degeneracy of the genetic code in two manners: having more than one tRNA (with a specific anti-codon) for a particular amino acid; and 'wobble' base-pairing, i.e. permitting non-standard base-pairing at the 3rd anti-codon position.
Source: RNAcentral